GACGAACGCUGGCGGCGUGCCUAAUACAUGCAAGUCGAACGAACCGCGACUGAGUGCUUGCACUUGGUCAAGGUGAGUGGCGAACUGGUGAGUAACACGUGGGUAACCUACCUCAUAGUGGGGGAUAUCAGUCGGAAACGACUGCUAAUACCGCAUAGGACAUAGGAUCACAUGAUCCAGUGAGGAAAGGUGGCGCUAGCUCUCGCUAAGAGAUGGACCCGCGGUGCAUUAGCUAGUUGGUAGGGUAAAGGCCUACCAAGGCGAUGAUGCAUGGCCGACCUGAGAGGGUGAUCGGCCACAUUGGGACUGAGACACGGCCCAAACUCCUACGGGAGGCAGCAGUAGGGAAUCUUACGCAAAGGACGCAAGUCUGACGGAGCAACGCCGCGUGAGUGAAGAAGGUCUUCGGAUCGUAAAGCUCUGUUGUUAGAGAAGAACAGCGCAUAGAGUAACUGCGAUGCGUGUGACGGUAUCUAACCAGAAAGCCACGGCUAACUACGUG
This 502-nucleotide ribosomal RNA is filed under the name uncultured bacterium. Its description in RNAcentral is "partial 16S ribosomal RNA". It matches the Rfam family "Bacterial small subunit ribosomal RNA", at positions 28 to 507 of the family's 1533-position model. The record is from RNAcentral.